AGUGAACGCUGGCGGUAGGCCUAACACAUGCAAGUCGAACGGCAGCACAGUAAGAGCUUGCUCUUACGGGUGGCGAGUGGCGGACGGGUGAGGAAUACAUCGGAAUCUACUUUUUCGUGGGUGAUAACGUAGGGAAACUUACGCUAAUACCGCAUACGACCUACGGGUGAAAGCAGGGGAUCUUCGGACCUUGCGCGAUUGAAUGAGCCGAUGUCGGAUUAGCUAGUUGGCGGGGUAAAGGCCCACCAAGGCGACGAUCCGUAGCUGGUCUGAGAGGAUGAUCAGCCACACUGGAACUGAGACACGGUCCAGACUCCUACGGGAGGCAGCAGUGGGGAAUAUUGGACAAUGGGCGAAAGCCUGAUCGAGCCACACCGCGUGGGUGAAGAAGGCCUUCGGGUUGUAAAGCCCUUUUGUUGGGAAAGAAAAGCAGCAGGUUAAUACCCCGCUGUUCUGACGGUACCCAAAGAAUAAGCACCGGCUAACUUCGUG
This 492-nucleotide ribosomal RNA is filed under the name uncultured bacterium. RNAcentral describes it as "partial 16S ribosomal RNA". It matches the Rfam family "Bacterial small subunit ribosomal RNA", at positions 29 to 507 of the family's 1533-position model. The record is from RNAcentral.